This 3723-nucleotide long non-coding RNA is filed under the name Gossypium barbadense (sea-island cotton). RNAcentral describes it as "long non-coding RNA (GBAR_LNC016425)". Lineage: Eukaryota; Viridiplantae; Streptophyta; Magnoliopsida; Malvales; Malvaceae. The record is from RNAcentral.
AGCCUUUUCUCAAGAGCACUCACUCAGCAGACAGCAGGCACAAAGUCACAACUCACAAAUCUGCCAUCGGGUUCUCAUUUCUCAAUUUGAAUCUCAGAUUUUCAAUCGGGAAAAUCCACCAUUUUUGCUGUCCAUUUCUCUUCCAGCACACUAAUACCUAGAGGCCAGGUUUACUUUCUUCUAAUUUCCUUUUGUUUUUUUUCCAAUUUCUUCAAUGGCAGAUAUAUUUUUAAUUUUAGGGUUUUGUUUUGUUUAGUUCGUCUACCUUGCCGACAGCUCCCCUUAUCCCUCCGUAAAAAUUCAAGUAGUAAUUUCUUCAGUAUUUUUGUUAUUAACAUGCUGGAAAGUGGAAACUACGUAUAAAGUUCGAUUUUAUAAUUUAUACUGUUUUACCAUCAAAAGAGGCAAUGGUUUUUGAGUUUUUAGCAAAAAAAAUUAAUCAAUGGUGUAUCAUGGAGAGUGAUACAAUAAUUACUUAAGAAACUGAAGCCAUAACAUACUAAUUUUCUCAUAUGCAUGUAUGUAUGUACAUUUACUGUUGUCAUCGCCUUCAAUUUGAAAGAUACUGAAUUUGUUUUGAAAAUUGUUUCCAUUUCAAAUUUCAAAGAUAUUGGCAUUAUAUUAAGAUAUAAUUGUUUCAAUUACUUCAUCACUCUUGCUUUGCUUGCUGUUCAUGCUCCUAAUUUGCAUAUGCUAACUCGCAGCAAUCUGGAAAACAACCUUCAAGCAAUAGGUAAAAGAGUAUCUGCAGGCUGCAUUUAGGUAAAAGAGUAUCUACAAACUCUAUUUAGGUAAAACACUCAACUAAUAGACCUCAAUUCAAAUGCAUAUGAAUCCUCUCCAUAUGCUAUCCUAUGCUUUAAAUAUUAACUCUUUUUCACAUGUAAGUCUUUAGAGAUGAGGAAAUGCUUUCUCAAUUCUCACUAUUAUUUAAUUUGUCUAUUUUGUAAAGGGUCAGAGUUUUGCUCUGUUUUUGCUCAUUUAACACCAUGCAUCAAACUCUGAUGUACUAUAAUGGCUGAAUUAAAUAAAUUAGGAAAUGGAAAUCUCAUGAUUGUGAUAGGACCUGAGCAAAGAUACAUUAAAAAAACCAAGCAUAAACAGAUUGUCAAACUGGUUUCAAAGCAGUCGUGUAAAAUGAACAUGUGGGUUCUGUUAUGGGCGAAAAACCAAAUCUGAUGCCACCCCACCCAUCGAUUAAAUCGGUUAAGUCGGUUAAUUUGGUUAAAUUGGUUAAAUUGAGCAAAUCGGUUAAAUAGGUUAAAUCGGUUAAUUUUUAACCAAAAAUAAAAAUCAUAUGAUUUUUGGUUAAUUCGGUUAAUCGAUUGGUUUAACCAAAAAAAUUCAGUUCGAUUAACGGUUAAAAAAUUUUGAAGGUCGGUUAAUUCAGUUAUAACUAAUUCAGGUCGGUUAACCGGUCAGUUAACCGAAUGCACACCCCUACGCUAGUAUAUAAGCUUUAAAAAUAAUAGUGUUUGUUUUUUGACACAGAAAGAGCUUGUGAUCUAGUGGCAAGGUGGCUUGUGCUGUAACUGUGAGGUUUGAGGUUCAAGUCUUGGGUUGCGCAUUGGAGUAUUUAUUUUACUGCUUGAGCUAGGUAGGCGGUGGAGUUGGAUUAGAAUACUGCUUAAGGGAGUUUGAACUGGUCAUGGAGGAAAUUAAGGAGGGGAUAAGGGGAGAGAUUUUAGGAGAAAAUCAAAGAGUUUGAGAGUGAGGGGGAAGUGUGUCGUUUGGGGGUAAUUCAACUUGGAAAAAUCAGUUAAGGGAGGGGUUUUGUGCCGAAUUUUCUUUAGUCAGUAAGGUAAUCAGUUUGAGGGUCUUUCUUUACUCUGUUUGCUUCGGUUUUAUUUAGCUUUUCCUUCUCCCUUUUGGUUUUCUUUGUGCCGAUUUUCACAAUGGACCUUGGGAACCUCUCGGGUUUGUUCAUCUACCUUUUUCUACUUUUCCUUUAUUUCUUUUUUGAUUGGGGUGGUCGAAUAGUUUUUGCAUCCUCUCUACAAAUCAUUUUUCCUCUUUCUUCUUCUUUUUGUGUUGCAUCUUCGCUUCUUAUCUCUUCUUCUCCUCUCCAUUUUUGUGUUACAAGUAUUCUCGACUACUGGUAAGUGCUAUGCUCUUCAUUAUGUUCUCUUAUUUUUCUCUUUUUAAAAUAGGAUAGCCUCCGUAAUACUUUGAUUUCUGACUGCUGAUGUUUUUCUCUCGAUAUGCUACUUGUUGCUGUGUUAAGGUUUUCUUCGAGGUGUGGUGUAGUGUGAGCGUUGUAAAGUUGUCGAAAUCUCUCACAUUCCUUGAUCAAGGUAGGUAGGCUAGCUUCUUUUAUGUGAUGGCCGAAUAUUCUAUGGCUCUGCAUAUGAUCAUGUGUGGUUUCUAGCCAUAUGAAUGCGCAGUACUGUUUAAUGAGUUGUUGUAUUACAGAUAUUUGUCAGCAAGGUUGAAGUCGAUUGUCAUCGGUUGUAAAAGUGGGCUGAGCCAUUUUUGUUAGUCGAGGCAAGUAUUAGUGUAGUUUUGGGUCAAGGUUGUAAAAGAAGGGGAUUAGCCCUAUUGUUUGUUGACUAAUGGAAAAUGUGUUUGAAUACAGAUUUUGGGGUAUUCGCGAAUCUCAGUGCGUUUCACAAACAUGUGUGUAUCCACACCACCUUUACUGCGAAUAGGCAAAAGCUGAAAAGUCGAAACACGACAAUCGAGGCCACAUGAACGUGUGAUUGCUCGUGCAAAAAAUUGAGCCCAAGAUAUUGGGUGUUAGACUACAGAGGCCUCUAUGGGCGUUUCUAUAGGCUUGGGCCAGAAAAUUACCGAAAUACCCUCGAAGGGUAAAAUUACCAAAAUACCCUUAAAGAGUAAAAUUAUCGAAAUACACCCGAAGGGUUAAAUUAUCAAAAUACCCUCAAAAGGUAAAAUUAUUGAAAUACCUUGAAGGGUAAAAUUACCAAAAUGCCCCCCAAAGGGUAAAAUUAUCGAAAUACCUUUGAAGGGUAAAAUUAUCGAAAUACUUUCGAAAGGUAAAAAUAUUGAAAUACCCUCGAAGGGUAAAAUUAUUGAAAUACCCUCGAGGGGAAAAAUUAUCGAAAUACCCUCGAAGGGUAAAACUAUCGAAAUACCCUCUAAGGGUGAAAUUACUAAAAUACCCUAAAAGGGUAAAAUGACCGAAAUACCGCUAUAGGGUAAAAUGACUGUUAUGGCCUUAUGCUAUGUAUGAUUGAUUUGCUAUAUGAUAUAUAUAUAUGACUAUUACUGAAUAUGACAUACUGUAUACACGUAUGAUUUAUGACAUGACAUACUACACAGGGUUGGGAUUCUGAUAUAGGGGAAGUGUACUAUAUUGGUGGCUAUGCCACAUAUACUGAUACUGGCGGCUAUGCUGAAAUACUAAUACUGGAAGUUAUGCUGUGAUAUUGUUACUGACAGCUCUGCUGCAUUAUUAUUACUGGCAGCUUUACUGCGAUAUUGGUGUGUUGGUUGGGUGGGUUGAUUUUAUCCCCACAUGGUGUGUUGGUGGUAUAGAGUGGUGUGUUGACUGGAUUGGGAUAGGUUGCAUUACUGUAUUUGUACUGAUUACUAUUUUGGGCUAAGGCCCACACUGUUACUGAAUUGGGCUAAGGCCCACACUCUGUUACUGUAUUGGGCUAUGACCCACACACUGCUACUGUAUAAGGCUCAUGCCCAGACUGAUUCUACAUGUUGUAUGUUGAUUGUUUGGUAUAAGAUUACACACUAAGUUUUUGUAAA